Rattus norvegicus (Norway rat) is the source of this 9591-nucleotide non-coding RNA. Lineage: Eukaryota; Metazoa; Chordata; Mammalia; Rodentia; Muridae. The record is from RefSeq and is a predicted model, not a curated record.
GAAACACCUAGGCAAUUCUCAUUGGGAAGCAUUUCUUUAGGACUGGUAGAUUUUGGGAGGGAGUUACUGCUUUGAUCUAUUCCACUGUCUGUGUAUUAUGAGAUCUGAACAUGUAGACUUCUUUUGUUAGUAUGUUGCCUGAUGUGGACAGAGCAGACUGGGACAGUGCACAACAUGUAUAGGCUGGGUUGGGCCUGAGGGUUGAUAUGGCUAAGGUGGGAUGAUGUCAGGUGGGCACAGGGGACUGGACUGGCACACAGGAUGUCUAUCCUGGUCCCAGCCUGGAACUUUUCGGGCAGAUCUGUGGGGUUGGGGCCUAUUCUUGGAGGGGGAGAAUCAGGUUGACUUAAAUGCCUAGACCUUGGCUUAAGAUGCAGAGGCUCUGGUUGGGCUGAGUGGUUGGAUGUAGCAUGAAAAGGCCGGUAGGCUGUGGAAGGUGCAAGCAGAGCUGUCCAGCCCAGGCUGGGGCACUGGAUGUGGAACUAAGAACAGCCACUCGAACUAUGAUUUUUUAGAGGCAAGGCCUGCUGUUUACCCUGGAACAGGACUGAGGAAUUCACGUAGAAUUGGAGGCUCACGUAUGGAGGGUGAAGAGGAAACUGCCAGCAGAAGGGAGGUUAAAGACGCAGAAUGAACAAAGACCGUGAUGUGCUACUGUGACAUGUGCUUUGAUCCCCAUGGAUGCUUACAGACUGGAGCCAAGGAGUGAAGAUAAACAUUUCCUGCCGGGUGGCUUGAUGAUCCAAAGAUACUAGAAAAUGAAGAAGUGAAGGGGAUAGUUUGAGAGAGUGGUGAAGUUACAGAGAUAAUAAGGGAAGGUGGUUGGUGUGGGAGAGGGCAGAGGCUGCUAGAUUCUUCCCUUGAAGUGGCUCUGGGCUUGGGAGGUGAAGUGUGUCUGUCAGGUGGUAAUGUUAGGGAAGCAUUCAGGGAGUGGGGAGUAAGCAGGGCCUGAGGUUAGCUCUGUGAGCAGGAGAGGCAGUCACUGUGGUAAGACUGACACUGUGGAGAGGCUGUCACCAUGGUUAGGUAGUUACCAUGAUGAGGCUGUCACCAUGGAGAGGUGGUCAUCAUUCAAGGCCAUCAGUGUGGUUGUUGGGAGCAUGGCAUGAAGGUCCUUGCACCCACAGAUCUCCAGAGAAACCAGGACUGUUAGGCACACAUUUGUCUUUCCAAUAGGAAAGAUGAAAAACCUGUUCUUCCAUUCAGAAAGCUGAGAAUUGGAAGUCAUUAACAGCCUGGUCAUCUGCUAUCUGUUGGGCCAGGCCGUAUCAGGCUCCUACAACCAGGACCAGAGGUGGCUGGUAAUCUAAAUGACCCUUAGAGCCAGAGGCUCCCCCAAGUUCCCCUAACCAGCAUGUUCUAUUAUCUCUAUUGCUGUGACAAAAACACCAUGACUAUAAAGUUGGGGAGGGAAAGGUUAAUUCAACUUACACUUCCACACCAUAGUCCAUCAUUGGAGGAAGUCAGGACAGGAACCCAAGCAGGGCUGAACCUGGAGGCAGGAGCUGAUGCAGAGGCCACGGAGGGAUUCUGCUAACUGACUUGCUUACCUUGGCUUGCUCAGCUUGCUUUCUUGUAGAACCCAUGACCAUCAGCCCAGGGAUCAGACCACCACCAUGGGCUGGGUUCUCCCCUAUUGAUCACUAAUUGAGAAAAUGCCUUUACUCAACUGAGGCUUCUUCCUCUCUCAUGACCAAUUUGUGUCCAGAUGACACAGCUAGUACACAGGACCCAAGGUGACCAAUGGCCCGAAUGACCUCUAUGCUAUCUGUAUGACUGAGACCAGGCCAGACCCUUAGGGCCUUAAGCUAGAGCAGGAAGUGCAUAUCUAGAGCCCAUCUUCUGGGAAGAAAUGACAUGCACCCUGAGCUGAGGUUCACUGUAAUUACACUGCUGUGCACCAGGGACUGUAUUAAGCUAGGAAACCUUUUUUCUUUAAGAUUGUACUGGGCUUAAGUACACUGAGAACAAUCUGCCUGUUAUUAGACUCUGAGGGCUGAUCCAGGUUGGCCGAAACAGUCUGCACUGGGUUUUCAUUAUCUUUUUUUUCCAUUCCCUUCCCUGCAUGACUCCUGCAGGAACCCUCUCAUGUGGUGAGGUGGUCGCCAUUGCAGGGCAGGCACUGUGGCAGAAGGUGGAGGCCUGGGCAAGGAGCAGGUGACUUCCAUCUUCUUGUCAACUCAGAGUUCAUGAUGGCUACUGGAGCUCCAGUCAUUCCAUUGGAGCUCUCAGCUUGGACAGAAGAACGGCAGAGGAGCAGGAACGGCUCCUGGCACCUGUCGGCCAGUCUUCCUCAGUCUGUUCUCCACUUACAGCUUCUAGGUCUCCUUGGCCACUAGCCUCUGUAGAAAGGAGGGUGCCCGAGACACCUUUCCAGAUUCUUACUCUCUGUAUCAGCAACAGGAAGUUCACCCGCUCAGUACCUGACUCACGUAUGUUCACUUAUUCACGAACCAUAUCAACGUGAACAUGUCAAACAUACGUAAAAGCGGAGUGCCUGGACUGAACACAGAGCUUAAUGCUCUAAGGCAAGACAGCCAGAGUGGCCAGGUAAGAGGGAGCAACUUCUAUCUCUACUUGCUAUUCUGCAAGGUUCUCUGAUGCAGGAUGGGAAGUCGCUGUCCCUGCUUCUCCAUCGCUUACCACACUCAGAGUGGAAGUGGUCCCAGGUGGGAUUUGGAGACCACAGACUGCAAGCUGGAGUCCUAGAGACUGUCCCACUGCUUGUGGCAGGGGCAGACUGGCGCCCUCCACACCUGUGUGCAGGGUGGUGGCCAACUAUGAGGUCCUCCUGACUGGUCUCUGCAGGCCUUGCAGACUGGCUGGCUGGGACAGCUCAGGGCAGGAAACCAUCAAACAAUGGAUGGCUACAGCCUGGAGCUCGGGGCACACCCACUGAGACUUCCCCUGAAUGUUCUGGAAUGCUCGCUGUGGCUGACCUUGGCACUGAUUUAUGAAGCACCUUAAAAAUAGUUUUUACCUAGAGGUAACACGUGGCCUGAUUCUUGAGGGCACAAUGACCAUUGUCCUGGUCGAUGACUUCAGCUACAGUUGGGAUCAGUAUUAUAUUCAUCCAGAACUCUUAACAAGGCCCAGCUUCUGAGUACAGUUUCCCCCAGAGCUCAGGAAAACUGUCUUCUCUUUCCUUAAGCAGUGAUGGAUGAAAUCAUCCCCCCUGCUAAAUCCCUUCCGGAGCCUGUGUCUGGGCUUCCGUUGUGGCCAUACCCAGGUUUCUGAGGUUGAUGUCACUCAGCUGGCCAGCUGGGGAUGGCUGCCUGUCUGCUCCUGCAGUCUGUCUUAAGUGGCCUUUGUCCCCAGGUGACAAACACUUUCCUCAUUAGCCUACGGAAGGUGCCUCUGUUUCACCAGCCAGAACCCAUGUCGCCCUCCCCUUUGCAGGCCCCUUUGAGGGCCAGGCACCCUCAGCUUCCUCACUAUCACCAGGUGAUUGGCUGCAGUCCCUCAGGUGGGCAGGUUUCCUCCCACCUGCCAGAAGGGCCCAGUGAGGGCCUGCCACAUCCUCCUGGCUGCUGUUGUGUUUUCUCCUUUUCCUUCCUUGCUCUCUUCUUCCUCUUCCUACUCUCUUUUCCUCCUCCUCCUCCUCCCCCUCCUCCCCCUCCUCCCCUUCCUCCUCUUCUUCUUCCUCCUCACCCUCUUCUUCCUCCUCCACCUCCUCCUUUUUUUCAUCCUUUCCCCCUCCAUUUCCUCCUCCUCUUCUAAGAAUGUACCUAGAAUUUACAGCCAAAUUUGAGAACAUGAAGUCAUGAAUUCUAACUGAUGUGUACCAUGUCAUGUCUGUCUCCCAGAGUGAGUAUCACACCUGUGAGGGCUGCAGCACAGAGGGGAAGGACCUGGGCUUUCUAGGGAAGCAGAUGUGGGUUCCACACAUUUCUCAGGCAGGGAAAAGUACCCCAGAGUUUUGCGAUGGGUGUCAGGUGAAAUGCUGUUUAUGAAGUGUCGCGAUGGGUGUCAGGUGAAAUGCUGUUUAUGAAGUGUCGUGGAGCACACCGGCCACAAGGCAUACUGUGUUUUUGCAGAAGGCCAUCAAAGAUGGCGCAGUUGUCCGGGGUGCUGAUUGUGCUGGGAAACUGUCCUCUCCUCCAGGAGUCCUUAGUUUAUGCUGAAGUCAAUAUUGUGGUAGUGGAGCUGGAGCAUGAGUUAGGCUAAGGCCCAGUCUGUUGUGUGGCUCCCACUCUGCCCAGUGCCCUGCGUAACUGAUGAGGCAGUCACAUAAGAAGAGGGGAGAAAGUCCCUUGUGGAACUUGAGACUAGCAGAUGGAGUUCCAUGAAUAAGGGCACGGCUGCUCUUUUCAACCAGGAUGCCAACAGCCAUUGCAUUUUAUUAGAGUCUUUAUAGCAGGACUUCCCUAGCACAUACUUGCUCAUGGGCUUCUCACCACAGUCUUAGGGACUAGUGAUGGAUGGGUUGCCUUCCGUUUUGAAAAUCUCAAGGAAGUGAUGUUCAGAGCAGUUAUUUAAAACUUUAAAAAUUUAUUCUUUGGAAAUUUCAUACAUGUAUGUGAAUGAAGUAUUUUGAUCUUAUCAAAUUUCUAUGACCUUCUACCAACUCCCUCUGGGUUCCACUAACCUACCUCACUCAGGACUUCGCUUUAAAAAAAUUAUUGUAAUUAAUUAAUAACCCCAUCGAGCUCAGUGACUGCUGACCGUAUGUGACUGGGGUGAAUGGGUGUGGGGUGGAGUUCUCUAACGGGGCAUGGGCAAUCUACCAGCAGCCACAACCCUUAGAAAAGGUGAAUUUCCCAUCCUCACCAACGUCAACCACCAACCGUUCUUCAGCUCCAGAGCCCCACCCCCAGCCAUGCUGGGAUGCUGAUCUCAGCCUCAGGCCAGUCUUCCACAGACGGGCACGGCUAUCCCAGCCUCCAGCUCCAUGUGUGAGUGUGAGUGCACACUCCAGCUGGCAUUCACACUCACCAGGUCUCAGCAACUUGACAAGAUUCUUGUGUACUAACUAGGACCUUUGUUAGAGUUUCUAUUUCUGUGAUCGAGACCAUGACCAAAAGCAACUUGGGGAGGAAAGGGUUUAUUUUACACUUCCAGGUAAGCAUAAUAGUCCAAAUUGGGACGAUGGGGCAGGAAUCCCUGGUGUAGUGCCACUUACUGGCUUGCUCAGCCUGCUUUCUUAUAGCAUCUAGGACUAGAUGAAAGUCCUGGAGUGCCCCUGAAAACACAGACACACACAAACAGACACACACACAGACACACAUAGAUGCGCACGCACACACACACACACACACACACACACACACACACACACACUGUAUUAGUGGCCAGGGGUGGCACCACCCACAGUGGACUGGGCCCUCCUGCAUUAACCACUACUUAAGAAGUACACCACAGGCUUGUCCACAGCUCAGUCAGGUGGGGUCUUUUCUCAACUGAGGGACCCUCUUCCUAAAUGACUCUGAAAACCAUCCAGCACACUGCUAAAAAGAGAAUCUUUCUGAGUCAGCCUGAACAGUAGCACAAAUCUGAGUGUAAACACAAGGGUUAAGGAGCUGGUUCAACAGCAUGACCAAUGCAGCAGCAGAACAUCAGUGAGUUCCCCUUACGGCCUGUGAUCUCCCCAGUUUUAGGAUUUUGACUGGGUUCACAGGACCAGGCAUCAAAUUUACCUCCUGUGCAACAGGCCUCAGAUCCAAUCCGAAAAUAGUUGCUUGCCCACAUACUCACCAUGCCACUCUUUCGUGAGUGGCCACAGCUUGUAGAAUACAGGGCCCUACAUGCUGCUAAGUAAGACCAUCGACGUCUGCCUUAACAAGCCGCUCGCAUAUCUUCUUCCAGCACCAUGAAACGCAGGGAGAAUUUUCUAUCAGCUUGAGAUUGAUUUCUCCAUGUCUUGUAGUAAAAGUGGAAAAGGUUUUUUAGCAGUAGGUCUUACCAUUUAGUUAUGGUGAGCAAUCAAGAGCAAUAAACUGUGUCUUUUGGGUGCUUUGGAACUUCUCUAACUAAUAUCUCAUACAUAUUAACUAUCUUUAACUAUAUUAACUUUCAUUAAUUAACCCAUGUCUACUGGGAGUAGCAUUGUCCUCCUAUGCAGAGUGCCCCUGAAAACACAGACAGACACACACAGACACACAUAGAUGGGCACACACACACACACACACACACACACACACACACACACACACACUGUAUUAGUCAAGGUUUUACUGCUGUGAACAGACAUAGUGACCAAGGCAACUCUUUUUUUUUAAUCUUUAUUAACUUGAGUAUUUCUUAUUUACAUUUCGAUUGUUAUUCCCUUUCCCGGUUUCCAGGCCAACAUCCCCCUAACCCCUCCCCCUCCCCUUCUAUAUGGGCUUCCCCUCCCCAUCCUCCCCCCAUUACCACUCUCCCCCCAACAAUCCUGUUCACUGGGGGUUCAGUCUUGGCAGGACCCAGGGCUUCCCCUUCCACUGAUGCUCUUACUAGGAUAUUCAUUGCUACCUAUGAGGUCAGAGUCCAGGGUCAGUCCAUGUAUAGUCUUUAGGUAGUGGCUUAGUCCCUGGAAGCUCUGGUUGGUUGGCAUUGUUGUUCAUAUGGGGUCUCGAGGCCCUUCAAGCUCUUCCAGUCCUUUCUCUGAUUCCAAGGCAACUCUUACAAAGACAACAUUUAAUUGGGGCUGGCUUAGAGGUUCAGAGGUUCAGUCCAUUAUCAUCAAUGUGGGAACAUGGCAGUGUCCAGGCAGACAUGGUGCAGGAGGAGCUGGGAGUUCUACAUCUUCAUGUGAAGGCUGCUAGGAGAAGACCGACUUCCAGGCAUUUAGGAUGAGGGUCUUAAAGCCCAUACCUGCAGUGACACACAACAAGGUCACACAUCCUAAUAGUGCCACUCCCUGGGUCAAGCAAAUACAAACUCUUAUAUUCCACUCCCUGGCCCACAUAGGCUUUUCAGACACAUUAGCCUAUGUGGGCCAUACCCAAACACAAAGCAAAAUACAAUCAGUCCAAGUCCCUAUAGUCUAUAGCAGCCUCAAUAAUGUUAUUUCUAAUUGGAUAGUUUAUGUAUUUACAUCUAAAAUGUUAUCUCCUUUCCCAGUCCCCCCCCAAUCCCUCCACCCUGCUUCUAUGAGGAUGUUCCCCCUCCCACCCACCCACUCCCACCUCAACACUCUGGGAUUCCCCUACACUGGGGAAAUGAGCCUUCACAGGACCAAGGGCUUCUCCUCCUAUUGAUGCCAGACAAUGCCAUCCUCUGCUACAUAUGUGGCUGGAGCCAUGGGUUCCCCCAUGUGCACUCUUAGGUUGGAGGUUUAAUCCCUGGGUGCUCUGGUGGGUCUGGUUGAUUGAUAUUGUUGUUCUUCCUAUGGAGUUGCAAACCCCUUUAGCUCCUUCACUCCUUUCUCUAAGUCCUCCAAUAGGGGCCCCUAUACUCAGUCUAAUGAUUGGCUGCAAGCAUCUUAGUCGGUAUCAGUAAGGUCUGGCAGAGCCUCUCAGGAGACAUCUGUAUCAGGCUCCUGUCGGCAAGCACUUCUUGGCAUCAGCAAUAGUGACUGGUUUAGUGGCCACAUGUGGAAUGGAUCCCCAGGCAGUCUCUGGAUGGCCUUUUCUUCAGUCUCUGCUCCACUCUUUGUCUCUUUAUUUCCUUCCAUGAGUAUUUUGUUCCCCCUUCUUUUUUUUUUAAAUUUUAUUAGACAUAUUUUCUUCACUUUUGUUCCCCCUUCUAAGAAGGACUGAGGCAUCCACAUUUUAGUCAUCCUUCUUCUUGAGCUUCAUGUGGUUUGUGGAUUGUAUUGGGUAAUUUGAGCUUUUGGGCUAAUAUCCACUUAUCAGUGAGUGCAUAUCAUGUGAUAGAAAAUAUCACUCAGAAUGAUAUUUUCUAGUUCUAUCCAUUUGCCUAAGAAUUUCAUGAAGUCAUUGUUUUUAAUAGCUGAGUAGUACUCCAUUGUGUAAAUGUACCACAUUUUCUGUAUCCAUUUCUCUGUAGUCUUAACAAUAUUAAAAGCCCAAGUUCAAAGUCUUUUCUGAGAAUCAUUCAACCACCUAAAUGUAAUCCCCAAAGCAAGACAGGAAACCAGCUGGGCAAACUCCAAACUCUGCCUUUCCAUGUCUGAUGUCAACGUGGUCUUUAGAUCUCCAAACCUUUUUCAUCUUUGUUGACUGAAACAAACUUCUUUCUCCUGCGCUGGUUCCACUUCCUGGUGACAGGUGAGGGGAACAAGCUGAGAAAAGAACUGAAAAGGAAAAUGAAGACUGAGGUGUACACAGGGGCCUUUAUAAGGCUCUGGCACAUUCUGUGGAACCUACUUGCACAUACAAGACUGUGCACAUGCUCAAAGAUGUGUGCAUCUUUUAGACAGACCUGGGGAAUUCCUAAUCCUUUGCUUCUGGUUGAUCUUGAGGUUCUGGGGACCCAAAAGGGAAGGCUAUGGCAAAGCUGUCAAUCACUCGGCUGAGAUUUGAAGGCUGCCUUUGAGAUGCACACGGAGCCAAGACUGACAGCCUUGGUGUUCCAGGCGGUGAAGGACGUUGGUGGAGGGGCAUUGGUUGCUCACCCAGCUCACCAGACAGUGUUCUGUGGUCACAGACAGAGCUCAGAAAAGUCACCAAAAGAGCAAACAGUAGCACCGUCUUCAACAAAUAACACAACAAGGUUUCUUUUCAGAGCUACGGACUGUAUUGUUUCAAAUAGCCAGCUUCAUCAUGAAGAAACAGCAGAUUAUCAUUUUUGUAGUAAGCCCUCUCCCCCGCCAUGAAAACUGUUCUGGGGGAGGGCCAUAAUUGUACCUAUGACUAAGACUUAAGGCAGCUAUGUCAAAUAUGUUCAUAAAACUAAGGAGACCACACAGGACAUCUAAGGGGAGAGCAUGGGAAUGUGUCUCACGAGAUAGAGUGUCACAGUAGAAAGCAGCCCAUAGGAGUCCUUGAGUUGAGAGUGACAAAAUGAAAUCAAAAGUCCACAGGAGAGGCUCAGUAGCUGACCCAGGGCGUGACAGGCAGAUGUCCCCUGAGAAUGUGUCCUCUAAGGGGUGGAGAAAGAAAUAAGAAAUAAAUAUGAACUGAACUCAAAAACCCAAGAGAUGUCACCAAGCCUUCAAAAUAUGCAUAAAGGGAGUCCUGGGAGGAGAGCAGGGAAAGGACCGAAAGAAUAAUCGUAAUACUGCCUGAAAAUGUCCCAAGUUUGAUGAAAGAUAUUUGUUCAUAUUAAAGCAACGCAAGAGACUUUGUAUCACAACUGCAGAAGACCCUCCCCCUCCCCGCACACAAACCACACACACACACGCACACUGCCAAACCAAAGACAAUUUAAGGGCAGCAUUAGGAAGUGGCUGAUCCUGUACCUGCAGAGUCUGGCUAACGGCUGCUGUCUGUCUUAUCAGAUGGGGCAGAGACUGUGAGAUGACAUGUUCAGGUUGUAGAAGGAAAAAAAGCCCCAAGCGAACAUUUCCUGUUGGGAAAAUCUGCACUUACAAAUGGAGGUGAGAGGUCCACAUGAUAACUACGCUGUGACUUGAUGUCCCAGGGCAGGGUGGGUACCUGAGGGGGGCUUUUCUUUCUCUGAGGAGAAGGAGGGUAGUGGGGGGAAGGAUUUGUGAGGGUGGGAUUGAGAGGAGAGGAGGGAGGGGGACUGCUACCAGGAUGCAAAGUG